RNAcentral lists this ribosomal RNA (253 nucleotides) under uncultured bacterium. Its description in RNAcentral is "partial 16S ribosomal RNA". It matches the Rfam family "Bacterial small subunit ribosomal RNA", at positions 524 to 776 of the family's 1533-position model. The record is from RNAcentral.
UACGAAGGGGGCUAGCGUUGUUCGGAAUCAUUGGGCGUAAAGCGCACGUAGGCGGCCUUGUAAGUCGGAUGUGAAAUCCCACGGCUCAACCGUGGAAGUGCAUCCGAAACUGCGAGGCUCGAGUAUGGAAGAGGGUCGCAGAAUUCCCGGUGUAGAGGUGAAAUUCGUAGAUAUCAGGAGGAACACCGAUGGCGAAGGCAGGUCUCUGGGCAUUAACUGACGCUGAGGAGCGAAAGCAUGGGGAGCGAACAGG